UGAGGAAUAUUGGGCAAUGCCCGCAAGGGUGACCCAGCAACGCCGCGUGGAGGAUGAAUGUCGUAAGAUUGUAAACUCCUGUUAGAGGGGAAGAAUAGUACCGGUUGGACCGGUAUAUGACUGUACCCUCAGAGAAAGCCCCGGCUAACUACGUGCCAGCAGCCGCGGUAAUACGUAGGGGGCAAGCGUUGUCCGGAUUUACUGGGUGUAAAGGGCGCGCAGGCGGGAUAAAAAGUCAGUGGUGAAAUCCUACAGCUUAACUGUAGAACUGCCUUUGAUACUUUUAUUCUUGAGUUCGGGAGAGUGAGACGGAAUUCCAGGUGUAGUGGUGAAAUACGUAGAUAUCUGGAAGAACACCAGUUGCGAAGGCGGUCUCUUGGUCCGACACUGACGCUGAGGCGCGAAAGCGUGGGGAGCAAACA
RNAcentral lists this ribosomal RNA (422 nucleotides) under uncultured bacterium. Its description in RNAcentral is "bacterial SSU rRNA". It matches the Rfam family "Bacterial small subunit ribosomal RNA", at positions 355 to 774 of the family's 1533-position model. The record is from RNAcentral.